CGGGAAACGAACUCACGACCUUGCACUUGCCAGGCAGGCGCUUUGCUGGUGAGCUAAACCGCCAGCCCCCGGGGCUUCUGGUUUUGACAUCUCUCUGCUUGGACUCUGCCUUCGCCAGCAGAAUUAGGCAGAGGGCAUCAUUCGUGCACGGUCCCAUCACAGCAGCAGCAAAGAACCUCUGGCUAAUAAAGGACCAGCUCAGGAAACUGGGAAGAAAGUCCCUAAGGUUCA
RNAcentral lists this long non-coding RNA (231 nucleotides) under Chinchilla lanigera (long-tailed chinchilla). RNAcentral describes it as "lncRNA (ENSCLAG00000024743.1)". The record is from RNAcentral. Lineage: Eukaryota; Metazoa; Chordata; Mammalia; Rodentia; Chinchillidae.